AGCGAACGCUGGCGGCAGGCCUAAUACAUGCAAGUCGAACGAAGCCUUCGGGCUUAGUGGCGGACGGGUGAGUAACACGUGGGAACGUACCCUUUGGUUCGGAACAACUCAGGGAAACUUGAGCUAAUACCGAAUGAGCCCCCAUCCUUGAACAAGAUGGGUGGGAAAGAUUUAUCGCCAUUGGAGCGGCCCGCGUCUGAUUAGCUAGUUGGUGGGGUAAAGGCCCACCAAGGCUACGAUCAGAGCUGGUCUGAGAGGAUGAUCAGCCACACUGGGACUGAGACACGGCCCAGACUCCUACGGGAGGCAGCAGUAGGGAAUCUUGCGCAAUGGGCGAAAGCCUGACGCAGCCAUGCCGCGUGAAUGAUGAAGGUCUUAGGAUUGUAAAAUUCUUCAGCGGGGACGAUAAUGACGGUACCGCAGAGAGCCCCGGCUAACUUCGUGCCAGCAGCCGCA
This 456-nucleotide ribosomal RNA is filed under the name uncultured bacterium. Its description in RNAcentral is "bacterial SSU rRNA". It matches the Rfam family "Bacterial small subunit ribosomal RNA", at positions 29 to 519 of the family's 1533-position model. The record is from RNAcentral.